RNAcentral lists this ribosomal RNA (353 nucleotides) under Pseudomonas sp. MCR1.10. RNAcentral's name for it is "bacterial SSU rRNA". It matches the Rfam family "Bacterial small subunit ribosomal RNA", at positions 981 to 1325 of the family's 1533-position model. The record is from RNAcentral. Lineage: Bacteria; Pseudomonadati; Pseudomonadota; Gammaproteobacteria; Pseudomonadales; Pseudomonadaceae.
UUGACAUCCAGAGAACUUAGCAGAGAUGUUUUGGUGCCUUCGGGAACUNUGAGACAGGUGCUGCAUGGCUGUCGUCAGCUCGUGUUGUGAAAUGUUGGGUUAAGUCCCGCAACGAGCGCAACCCUUAUCCUUUGUUGCCAGCGGUCCGGNCGGGAACUCAAAGGAGACUGCCAGUGAUAAACUGGAGGAAGGUGGGGAUGACGUCAAGUCAUCAUGGCCCUNNCGAGUAGGGCUACACACGUGCUACAAUGGCGUAUACAAAGAGAAGCGACCUNANGAGAGCAAGCGGACCUCAUAAAGUACGUCGUAGUCCGGAUUGGAGUCUGCAACUCCUUUGGGAUGAAAUCGGAAUC